UACGUAGGGCGCAAGCGUUGUCCGGAAUUAUUGGGCGUAAAGAGCUCGUAGGCGGUUUGUCGCGUCUGUCGUGAAAGCUUGGGGCUUAACCCCAAGUCUGCGGUGGAUACGGGCAGACUAGAGGCAGGUAGGGGAGAACGGAAUUCCCGGUGUAGCGGUGAAAUGCGCAGAUAUCGGGAGGAACACCGGUGGCGAAGGCGGUUCUCUGGGAAUGUCCUGACGCUGAGGAGCGAAAGUGUGGGGAGCGAACAGG
This 253-nucleotide ribosomal RNA is filed under the name uncultured bacterium. RNAcentral describes it as "partial 16S ribosomal RNA". It matches the Rfam family "Bacterial small subunit ribosomal RNA", at positions 524 to 776 of the family's 1533-position model. The record is from RNAcentral.